AAAAAACCAGCGUAUUUCUGGCGGCCGCUUCCUGACGGCCUGGCCGCCGGUAGUUAGGACCAGCGGCUAGGCCGCCGGAAAAUAACACUAGUCCGCCGGUACAAUUUUCCCCACUUAAAUGUGAGAAAUGAGCUGGUGGCCAGGCCGCCGGGACCUUUUUUUGUUAAGUUACCGGCGGCCAGGCCGCCAGAAAAUUUUCCCCAUGUAAUUGAGAGAAAUUUUCUGGCAGCCAGGCCGUCAGGAAUUUCAGGAAACCCUAAAAAUUUUCCAUUUGCGCCGCCGUGGUUCUCUGUACAGUCAACCCUAGUCAACUAUAACUUAACUAUUUCCUGACGGCCAGGCCGCCAGGAUUUUUUAUAUAUAUAAAAAAAAUUUCAGAUUUCUUUCAUUUCUCCCAACUUCUACCCACUCCUCCCCAACUCUUUUCCGACGAUUUGAGCACAUCUGGUCAUCUUUCCAAGGUAUUUUACUCUCCUUCUUCAUCUUCCUCUUCUUCUUCUUCUCCAUCUUCUUCUUCUUCUUCUUCUUCUUCGAUCUUGUCC
RNAcentral lists this long non-coding RNA (542 nucleotides) under Zostera marina. RNAcentral's name for it is "long non-coding RNA (ZMAR_LNC001020)". Lineage: Eukaryota; Viridiplantae; Streptophyta; Magnoliopsida; Alismatales; Zosteraceae. The record is from RNAcentral.